AUGGUGGUCACUUGGUCCCGGUCACCGCGAUGGACCGAGCGGACAGAGCGGCCGGAUCGUCGUGGGGGUGCGGGAGGUGGCCUGGCAGGGUUGGUCAGGGCGAUGUUGGGAGAUCUUCCAGCAGAAGCUUUGUCCAGGUGGAUCCCAGGAACUCUUACGACAAAGGGUUUGUCCAGCUGGAUCUCUGGAGAUCCUCCAGGGCAGGAUUUCUGCAGGGGGAUCCCAGGAACUCUUCAACAAAAGAUGCUUUGGACAGAUCCCGGAAGUUCUUCCAGAAAGGAUUUCUCCGGGUGGAUCCCAGGAGAUCUUCCAGGGAAGGAUUUCUCCAGGUGGAUCCCAGAAGUUCUUCCAGGGAAGGAUUUCUCCAGGUGGAUCCCAGGAGCUCUUCUGGAUGGACACAGGAAGUUCUUCCAGGGAAGGACUCGUUGGAGCAGAUCCCGGGAGAUCUUCCAGGGCAGGAUUGGUUUGGAUGGAUCCCGGGAGUUGUCCUGGGAAAGGAUUUCUCCUGGUGGAUCCCAGAAUUCCUGCAGGAUUUCUCCUGGUGGAUCCCAGAAUUCCCGCAGGAUUUCUCCUGGUGGAUCCCAGAAUUCCCGCAGGAUUUCUCCUGGUGGAUCCCAGGAGCUCCUGCAGGGCCUCAAUCCCGGGGUUGGUUCGAACCCCGUUGGGAUCUCCUGCUCCAGGUGGGUUUUCCUUGGAAGGAGGAGAUUGGGACCCAUGGAUUCCCCUGGAAUGAGGGGAGUGGGAUCCACCCGGACUGGGAACUUUAGGAUUAGGAAUUCCCAGUGGAUCCAGAACUUUGGGAUCCCCAAUUCCCAACAGAUCCAGAACUUUGGGAAUCCCAUGGAUUGAGAACUUUGGGAUCUGGGAUCCCCAUGGAUCAAAAACUUUGGGAUCCUCUGGAAUGAGAACUUCAGGAUCCCUACUUCCCAACGGAUCGAGAACUUUGGGAUCCCCAAUUCCCAAUGGAAUGAGAACUUUGGGAUUUUGAAUUCUCAGUGGAUCGAGAACUUUGGGAUCCCUACGGAUCAAAAACUUUGGGAUCUGGAAUUCUCAAUGGAUCCAGAACUUUGGGAUUUGGAAUUCGCCCUGAACUGAGAACUUUGGGAUCCCCAAUUCCCACUGGAUCCCGAAUUUUGGGAUCCCCAUGGAUGGAGAACUUUGGGAUCUUGAAUUCCCAAUAGAUCCAGAACUUUGGGAUCUCCAUGGAUCAAAAAUUUUGGGACCCCCUGGACUGAGAAUUUUGGAAUUCCCAAUUCCCACCGGAUCCCAAAUUUCGGGAUCCCCGGUCCCUGCCCGGCCCCUGCCCGGCCCAGCCCCUUUUCCCAGGAAUAUUUAUCCCCUUAUUUAAAAAUUCGAGAAUUCCCAUCCCCACUCCCCCUUUUUCCCCCCCAUGGACAUUCUGCACUUUAUUCCAGGCUCUGGGAAUUUUUUUUGGGGUUUUUUUGGGAUCAUCCCAUCCCUCACCCCGCAAAAUUUGGGAAUUUUGGCCUCCCGGGAAAUUGGGAUGAGCCCUGCUGGAAAAACCCUGGAGCUUUUAUGCAAAUCCCACCACUCCCAUCCCAAAAUUCCCAAUUUUUUCCCCACUCUGAUUUUUCCAACCUCCCCCAGGACCAAUCCCAGAAAUUUUCGGGGCCAAAAUAGAAAAAAAAUAGGAAAAAAAAAAUCCCACAAGGAUUGAAAUUCCCACCAAAAUUCCCAUUCCUGGCAUACUUCGGCUCGGAGGGGAUUUUUUUUUUGGGAAUCUCCUGAAUUUUUAGGGAAUUUUUACCCCGGGACGCAGCUCCUUGGAGGUCCCAAUGCUUUUAUCCCGAUUUUCCCAGUUUUAUCCCGAUUUUCCUGCUUUUAUCCCGAUUUUCCUGCUCUUUUUCCCUUUUUUUCCCCAUUUUCCCUCCCCCCAGCUAUGCAAGAGCUCCCCUGGGAUGGAAAUCCUGGAAAAAUCCCGGAAAAAAACCCGAAAAUCCCAGAAAAAAACAAAUCCCAGGAAAGGCUCAGGAGGAGCCAAACGGACCCGAAAAGGCCCCUGGGGAAAAUUCCCGGGAUUUGGGAUCCGCCGGGAAAAACUUCGGGAUUCCCUGGAUAUGCAAAGAAUAAAUCUGUGAAAAAUGGGAUUUUCCAGAGAAUUCCCAAAAAACCACAGGGUGGGAGGAAGGAGGGGGCAGCAAAUUUUGGGAUUUGGGAUCGGCCGCGGGAUUUUUGGGAAUUAAAGGGUGGGGAGAAACUCA
Molecule: long non-coding RNA, 2222 nt
Filed under: Taeniopygia guttata (zebra finch)
Lineage: Eukaryota; Metazoa; Chordata; Aves; Passeriformes; Estrildidae
Description: lncRNA (ENSTGUG00000019006.1)
Source: RNAcentral